ACCACUGAGCCAUCUUCCCAGCCCCAAUUUUAAACUCUUUAUGUAAGAAUAUAACCACUCUUGGGCUGGGAAGGUGGCUCAGUGGU
Molecule: microRNA precursor, 86 nt
Filed under: Dipodomys ordii (Ord's kangaroo rat)
Lineage: Eukaryota; Metazoa; Chordata; Mammalia; Rodentia; Heteromyidae
Description: mir-3473 microRNA precursor family
Rfam family: mir-3473 microRNA precursor family
Source: Rfam by way of RNAcentral